CCCCUCUCCUGUUUGUCUGUCCGACGUUGCGAUUGGAGUGCGUUCAGACCAUUUUCUCUUCCCAUCUCCCAUACACGCGCCACGCCUCCACCCAGAAUUCCCAAUUCCACGGCCUCCUGCCGCCGGCGCAAGCUCGCCGCCUCGACGAAAUUCCUCUGCCCCCUUCCACCGGCCCGGCGCGGAGUGGAGAUCCGCCCGCGCCGAUUCAUUCUGCUGGUCUGGUUAGAUACUCCAUUGCUCCAUCUACAAAACGAAGGACACAUAAAAGAACAAAGGAGGUGAAAGGAAGAAAGGACUAGAGGCGAGGAAAUAAUAAUGGGAAAGGGAGAUGUGGCCACGAGGUCCAAAUCCCAGAAAUCGUCGACAGUACAGGUCUGUGUGAACAAACUGAACUGCGUGAGUAAGUAUUGUCACUGUCUUACCUUGUUUUACUUGUUUCAGAAUGAACAGAGUACACCUACUAAUCCUCCUACAGCAUAUCCUGACUGGUCCCAGUUUCAGGCAUACUAUAAUGUCCCUGGCACGGCUCAAAUGACCCCACCGGCUUAUUUUCAUUCAACGGUGGCUCCAAGUCCUCAGGGGCAUCCAUAUAUGUGGGGUCCACAGAUGAUGCCUCCUUACGGGACGCCGCCACCAUACGCAACGAUGUAUGCUCAAGGCACACCAUAUCAGCAGGCACCUAUGCCACCGGGCUCACACCCAUACAGCCCAUAUCCUGUUCAAGCACCAAAUGGGACAGUUCAAACUCCUACAUCUGGUGCCGGAGGGUCAGAGACAGAUAAGUCAAACAAAAAUAAGCGGAAGACACCCCUGAAGAGAUCCAAAGGAAGCUUAGGUAGUCUGGAUGUAGUUACAGUAAAAGAUAAAACGCCACCUCCAAAAUCUUUAGUGUCAUCCUCCAAUGAAGGUUCUUCACAAAGCGAGAGUGGAAGCGGAAGUUAUUCUGGAGGAAGCAGUACAAAUUCUAAAAGUGGUUCACAGACAAAGGAUGGUUCUGAGCAUGGUCCGGCUAAUGAUGCUAGCAAUAAAGGAGUCACUGCUCAGGGCACGGCAGUUGAGCCCACACAAGUAUCUUCUGGGCCAGUUGUGCUUAACCCUAUGAUGCCAUAUUGGCCUGUUCCCCCUCCCAUGCCUGGCCAAGCAACUGGUGUAAACAUGGGAAUGGAUUACUGGGGUGCUCCUACUUCUGUACCUAUGCAUGGCAAAGCUGUCGCUGCACCGACAUCAGCUCCUUCAUCAAAUUCUCGUGAUAUCGUUCUCAGUGAUCCGGUCAUACAGGAUGAACGAGAAGUGAAGAAACAAAAACGGAAGCAAUCAAACAGGGAAUCAGCUCGUCGCUCUAGAUUGCGCAAGCAGGCUGAAUGGGAGGAAGUAGCCAGUCGAGCUGAUUUGCUGAAGCAGGAGAACAGUUCACUUAAGGAAGAAUUGAAACAGCUUCAGGAGAAGUGUGAUAGCUUGACCUCAGAAAAUACAUCUUUACAUGAAAAGCUUAAAGCGGUUGAUAGUGAGAAACCAAAUGGAAACUUGUGAAGCAGUGAAGGCCGCGGCCUCACUUUCUGACUGCUGAUAUAAAUUGGAGUGACAUGAUAGGUCGGGGAGAUAAUUAGGAGGUGUUCAUGUGUGCAAUUAGAUUUUUGGCUGAGAUGAUAGGAUUGUAUCAUAGGAUUCAACAUGAUGGUUUACAGAUUCUUCUUCUUCCGGACGUGGCAGCCGCCGUGCGCUAUGGUGUCUCUUUUUUCCCUGCUUUUGUGUGAGAUGCUACCUUAGCAGUAUGUGAAGAUCCCCAAGUUAUGUUUGAGACUUUGCGGGAUUAGCUUAUAAGAUGCUUGUUGUAGAGCUGAACUGAUGCUUGUUAUAGUUGUGAUUUAUAAACAUUCAGAGUAACUUACCAAUGUGUAUACUGCACUGAGACUGAGUGAUGAGUGGUGUUUGAAGGAA
This is an RNA transcript of Hordeum vulgare subsp. vulgare (domesticated barley), 1938 nucleotides long. It is a transcript of the gene named bZIP transcription factor 1-A-like, with no coding region annotated. NCBI's taxonomy places the organism in Eukaryota, Viridiplantae, Streptophyta, Magnoliopsida, Poales, Poaceae. The transcript is spliced from 15 exons. The record is from RefSeq and is a predicted model, not a curated record.